AACCAGAGUGCAGAUGUUCGCAAGGUAAUAGACUCAUUUUUGUUUGCAUUAAAUAAGUUAUAUUUCUUGCUUCACAAACUGGUGAAUUUCACUAGAAAUGACUGAUCAAUCAAUGGUACUUACUCGGAUUACCGUCAAUAAUAUUGUAUGAAAAUUUACUACUAAAUGCCAUGUUGAAUAAUUUUUGGGGGGGUUUCCUUUCCCUGCAAACAUGUUAUUGAAAUGUUCUAAUUUACUUGUUUGUUGAGCGGUACAGACUGUUGUUUUCUGCCUGGUGGAUAUUUAUAUUAUGCUUGGGAAAGCAUUUUUGCCA
RNAcentral lists this unclassified non-coding RNA (313 nucleotides) under Hevea brasiliensis (rubber tree). Lineage: Eukaryota; Viridiplantae; Streptophyta; Magnoliopsida; Malpighiales; Euphorbiaceae. The record is from RNAcentral.